RNAcentral lists this long non-coding RNA (3979 nucleotides) under Sus scrofa (pig). RNAcentral describes it as "lncRNA (ENSSSCG00015034135.1)". Lineage: Eukaryota; Metazoa; Chordata; Mammalia; Artiodactyla; Suidae. The record is from RNAcentral.
UUUUUUUUUUUUGUCUUUUUGCCAUUUCUUGGGCUGCUCCCGGCAUAUGGAGGUUCCCAGAAGAGACAAUUAAUUAAUUAAUUAAUUAAUUAAAUAAGAAAAGAUUUUUAAAGGCAUAUGAGAAAGUAUAUUUCACUUCUCAUUCAAUACAACACAGUCCAUUGAGAGGAACUGGUCACCUCAGGGAAUGAAGCUUUAUUUAGCACAAACAGGAGAGGUUUUCAAUUAGUAUGUCUAUUCUUUAAUAAUUUCAUCAUUCUUCCGAGAUUAUAAAAGCAGUACAUCCUAGGUAAAAAAAAUUGAGAAAAAAGAUCACCCACAAUAUUAUUACCUAGAGAUAAUAAGCUCUUAUUAGUAUUUGGCAUACAUACUUUCUUUUAAGAUUUCUAUAUACAGAGCUUUUGUCCAUAUUAAAGAAAAUUAGGGAGCUCCCAUUGUGGCUCAGUGGGUUAUGAACCCGACUAGCAUACAUGAGGAUGCAGGUUUGAUUCCUGGCCUUGCUCAGUGGGUUAAGGAUCUGGCAUUGCUGUGAGCUGUGCUGUAGGUCGAAUAUGAGGCUCAGAUCCUGCAUUGCUGUGGCUAGUGGCGUAGGCUGGCAGCUGCAGGUCUGAUUCAACACCCUAGCCUGGGAACUUCCAUAUGCCAAAGGUGUGUCCCUGAAAAGCAAAAAAAAAAAAAAUCAUACAUUAAGCAUAUUCUCAUCCCAUUCUGUUUUUCUAAAUAUCAUUCCAUAUCAAUAAAUAUUGGCCUCUACCAUCCUGUUUAAAGAUUGCACAGUAUUUCACUAUAUGGAUAGGCCCUAAUGACUUAAUCAAUCCUUUAUUAAUAGGGGUUUAGGUUACUUUCCAUGUUUUGCUGUUGCAAAAAACAGGGCAAUGAGCAAUCUGGUACAUAUGACUGUUUCUUUAAGAUAAAUUCCUAGACGAUAGCUUGUCAUUUUAUAACUCUGGAUCCAUAUUGCCCCAAGUGUCACCCAUAAAAUACAUACCAAAUUUACCUUUUUCAAAAGAAGGAAACCCUUAAAUUUAAGAGUAAUAGCAUAUUUUACAUUUCUAAUAUUUAGAUUAAGCAACCAAAAACUUUAAAAAUUCAAUUUAUCUCUAAAAAUCUAAAAUAUCAAUUCAUGCCUCUGAUAUUGCAUUAGAAUUACAUUUGGAGGGGGGGAAUUCUAAAAUACCUAAUAAACCGGUUUUGUUUUCAGCAUUUAUUAAUUUGAAAACUUAAACUCUGAAAAGAAUAUACUUGCUAUAAAACAAGCAAAUUAGUAGGGAAAACUAAAAGGCAAGGAGAGAGGCAAAAAAUACACUAAUCAGUUAUAGCAGCCACCAGGUCACCAAAUCUGAAUCCUAUACAAGGGCUGAGAAAGAAGCAUCAAGAAAAAGAGAAAAGGUGACAACUAAAAGAAACAGCUUUCAGAGACUCAGUGAUGGCUGGAUUAAAUUACACACAGACAUAUACAUCUACAUGCUCUGUAUAGAACCAAUCCUGAAGCUAAUCUCUAGGGGUUAGAACACAAGAGGAACCUUUGUGUGCUUUAUUUAACCAAACAUCAUGUACAAGGGGAUGGGGGAGGCCAGAUACAGGGAAGAGUGUCUAGGUAGCAGCUUGAGGGCCUAGUAUCAACUACUUCCCCUCCUGGGCACCAGGAGGGUAACAGGAACUUGAGGCAUAAAGCAGCUCCAAAGGCACUUAUUCCCUUCAAAACCAACACAAAUGACAAGGCUCAAUCAUCAAGUUCUUUGGCAAACUGGGCAAGGUGAGACUAUUUUUACCAACAAAUAAUUUACUGGAGAGCACCAUGUUUGUGCCUAGGAGGGGAAGGCCACAUAUUAUAACUAAUCUACUGGAGUUUCAUCCUAAUGGGGAAGGCAGGGACAUUAGAUAAAGCAACCAUAACAAAAGCACUGAACAUUUAAGAUGGAAAAUGGCAGUGUGUAUAGGGGUAAGAGGAGGUACUGUUGCUUGCUAACACCACACACCUAUAGGACUUGGGGUCUAACAUUCUUCUAGGCAAGGGCUCAGUAAACUAUGGCCCUUGAAUGGGUCAAAUCCAAUUCUGACUUAUGCUAUGAGCCAUUACCUAUAUAUAACACUUUUAAAUGGUUGAAAAAUUCUUAAAACUGUUUCCCAGCAUACAAAAAUUUCAUGAAAUUCAAACAUCAGUGUCCACAAAGUUUUACUGAACACAGCCAUGCCCACUCCUGGUCAAUGGCUACCUUCUCCAUGCACUGAGUUGGGAGGCUCUAAAUGCUUCAUGCUUGUUAGUUUGGCCCUGACAUACCCAGAAUUUAGACAUAGCCUGCUAGCCUAACAGAGAAUGCAGCCCCAUUUUUAAGAACAGCAGGCAGGUCUAAUUGGUUCUAUGGAUGCUGGGGUACUAGCCAAAUAGUAACCAGAAAAAUGUGAAAGGUUUUUUGAGUUGAAAGUAGAAUGGUCUCAGAAGGUGUGUGUUGGGGUGAGUAGGAUUAAAGGUUUCUCUCUGAAAGAAUACAUGAGCUAUCUCCUUGGACAAGAGAAUGAAACCGUCCUCAAAAUGACUACUACCUUUAGGAGCUUAGCACUGAGCAAAGCCUUUUGCCUUUAUUAUCUCAUUUAAUCUCAAACCCAGGUUCAAGUCUAAGCCUGUGUUCCUAACCACUCCCUGACUUAAAAGCACAAGACAACAAUGUUCACCAGGACUAAAAGAGAGGAAAAGACCACAGGAACAGUGGAAGGUUAUUUUAUGGCCAUGAGCAUCAGAAGUGUUCUAUUCAUCUCUCUCCUCCCUCUCCCUCUUUCUCCUUAUAGUAACAUCAUUUCCUUUAAAGAAAGUAAAAUGCAACUUAUUUCUUCCAGGAACUUGCUUGUUGAGAAAAACUGAUGCAGGUACUCAAACAUGGAGACAUUUUAAAGAUGUCACCAUCAAAGUUAUAGAUCUAACUUCUACUAAAUGCAAUCAAUGUGUAAGGGUCUCCAAAAGAAGGGGGUGAGGAAACAUUUUUUGAGGCAAUGGUUUAGAAAGCACAUAUACAGUUUAAUUUAGAUUUUUCAUUUAAAGUACAAUGAGGAGUAACAGUUAAACGAAUCUUACUCAAAGAAAGGGCUAUGAUGCUGGUAGGCAGCUGAAUCUUUCUUACUAGGAUCCAUGUUCUUUGCUUUGCCAACUAUACCACCAUUUUCCUUCAAGUUCUCCAAAAAGCCUACAAUUAUAAGAACCACUCAAUCCUAACUCAUUUUGUGAAAACCAGAUUUUUAAGAAGUUUCACUUGGUUGAUAUUUUCAUCAUACUUAUUUGCAGAUAACGUAUACCAUUAUUAUAUAACAUGUUUGUACAUAUUUACUUGGGUGUUUAUGAAUGGUUACCAACAUCUAGCUCCCAAGUUCUUCCUGUGCACCAAAUGAGGGGCUCAGAGUUUCAUACAGGGAACUUCCUGCAAGGCUCCCAACACUUCUACUAGGUAGGCUUUAUCUAGAUGAGGAACCUCAGGGUCAGGCAGGAUAAGUACAUACAGUGAAUGAGAACGAAAGAACCCAGAUUUGGACUUAAGCCUGUUUUGACUCAGAAACUGUGUUUUUCCCAUAGCAUUCUGCCAAGGCACCAACACAUUUCCUUAGACUAUCUCUCAGUCAAAUUUGCUGGAGAGCAGUAAGGGUGUGGAGUUGAAUAAACGAUUAGCUCUAAGAGUGGUUACUGGGCUCAAGCCUCUGCGUAUCCACAAUAAAUCCAUUUGAUCUAAUGUUUUUUGAUUUGUUUGGGUUUUUUCUGCUUUUUAGAGCUGCACCGAAGGCACAGAGAAGUACCCAGGCUAGAUGUCCAACAGGGGCUGCAGUUGCCAGCCUACACCACAGCCACUGCAAUGUGGAUCCGAGCUACAUCUGCAAUCUACACCACGGCUCACAGCAUUGCCAGAUUCUUACCCACUGGGUGAGGCCAGGGAUUGAACCUACGUCCUCAUGGAUACUAGUUGGGUUCAUUACUGCUGAGCAGAGAUGGGAACUC